This 551-nucleotide ribosomal RNA is filed under the name uncultured Glomus. Its description in RNAcentral is "SSU rRNA". It matches the Rfam family "Eukaryotic small subunit ribosomal RNA", at positions 548 to 1098 of the family's 1831-position model. Lineage: Eukaryota; Fungi; Glomeromycota; Glomeromycetes; Glomerales; Glomeraceae. The record is from RNAcentral.
UUGGAGGGCAAGUCUGGUGCCAGCAGCCGCGGUAAUUCCAGCUCCAAUAGCGUAUAUUAAAGUUGUUGCAGUUAAAAGGCUCGUAGUUGAAUUUCGGAAUCUGUCCGUCGGUCGGGCUUCACUGUCCGUACUGGUGUGGUGGGUUUCUACCUUCUGAACAACCGGCAUGUCAUUAAUUUGGUGCGCCGGGGAAGCAGGAUUAUUACCUUGAAAAAAUUAGAGUGCUUAAAGCAGGCCAUCGCCUGAAUACAUUAGCAUGGAAUAAUAAAAUAGGACGGCAUGGUUCUAUUUUGUUGGUUUCUAGGAUCACCGUAAUGAUUAAUAGGGAUAGUUGGGGGCAUUAGUAUUCAAUUGUCAGAGGUGAAAUUCUUGGAUUUAUUGAAGACUAACUUCUGCGAAAGCAUUUGCCAAGGAUGUUUUCAUUAAUCAAGAACGAAAGUUAGGGGAUCGAAGACGAUCAGAUACCGUCGUAGUCUUAACCAUAAACUAUGCCGACUAGGGAUCGGACGAUGUUAAUUUUUUAAUGACUCGUUCGGCGCCUUACGGGAAAC